Pelmatolapia mariae (spotted tilapia) is the source of this 667-nucleotide long non-coding RNA. RefSeq lists it as uncharacterized. The transcript has 2 exons. The record is from RefSeq and is a predicted model, not a curated record. Lineage: Eukaryota; Metazoa; Chordata; Actinopteri; Cichliformes; Cichlidae.
AAAGGAUGGAUGACGCCACAGCACUUCCUCUCAUUGUGCAAAAAAAAAAAAAAAUCCCGCUUGUGGAGGCUGUCAUGUUGCAUUGUGUGACCCAGAAUCUGUGCAGUACGCUCCCGGCCACACAUCCGCUGGACGUAACCUCAUUAAGUGCUAUCUGGUCAUCCAUCUGAGAGGCUCUGAGAGGAGGGACAGCGUUUACGUUACGAAAACACGACCGAGUGUUUUAACCUGACAGCCUGAGGUGUUCUUCAGUAAACUGCACUAGCUGACAGAAGGACCCGAGGCCCCGCUGCUCUUUUUCGGAGCUGCCCUCAGAUUCAGACCUCAGCCCCAUCGAGUGACAGCAGACAGAUCAGCCAACAUGUUCACAUGUUAACUGCAAAAUGAACUGGUGAAAACAGUACAAAGGUUAAAGUACCACACGUGCUGUAGUGAAAGCUGCAGCUGUUUUAUUGAUAAAGUUAAAGACAAAAAACAAAAGGAUUAAUCACUCAUGUAACUGUGUCACUAUAUAUCAGCAUUAACAGGACCUCAGUUUGGUGUUUCACAAAGCUGCUGAUCUCAGACCUGCACAGCUUCUGUUUUAAACACUUGAUGCACUCAGCUGCAUGAAGAGCACAUGAGAUUUUCUGUAACACAAUUAAAUAAAACCUGAAGGUCAAAGGUC